Molecule: ribosomal RNA, 443 nt
Filed under: uncultured bacterium
Lineage: Bacteria
Description: bacterial SSU rRNA
Rfam family: Bacterial small subunit ribosomal RNA
Source: RNAcentral
GAUCCUGGCUACAGAACGACGCUGGCGGCAGGCCUAACACAUGCAAGUCGAGCGAGGGUAACCCUAGCGGCGGACGGGUGAGUAACGCGUGGGAACGUACCCUUUGGUUCGGAAUAGCCCUGGGAAACUGGGAGUAAUACCGUAUAAGCUCUUCGGAGGAAAGAUUUAUCGCCAAAGGAUCGGCCCGCAUUGGAUUAGGUAGUUGGUGGGGUAAUGGCCUACCAAGCCGACGAUCCAUAGCUGGUUUGAGAGGAUGAUCAGCCACACUGGGACUGAGACACGGCCCAGACUCCUACGGGAGGCAGCAGCGGGGAAUCUUAGACAAUGGGCGCAAGCCUGAUCUAGCCAUGCCGCGUGAGCGAUGAAGGCCUUAGGGUUGUAAAGCUCUUUCAGUGGGGAAGAUAAUGACUGUACCCACAGAAGAAGCCCCGGCUAACUCCGUG